Non-coding RNA from Meleagris gallopavo (turkey), 4005 nucleotides. Lineage: Eukaryota; Metazoa; Chordata; Aves; Galliformes; Phasianidae. The record is from RefSeq and is a predicted model, not a curated record.
AAAAUCUUUAAUAUUGUAAAAUCCGUAAAACUGCAACAUCCCGUGAGUGUCUGCAUAAAGCCCAUCUGCUCCUGGGGACAGUUCAGCCUGUCCAGUCCAUGGGAGCUCUCACAUUGCUUCGAGUUUUUCCCUGAAUUGAUACAGAAACUUUUUCUUUGAACGCUACAAUUUUAGACAAUUUCUUCAUCUUUAUUGCUUGGAAAGAAUAUCCUGAAAGGUAUAAAUUGGUGCCAAACAAAUAGUCUCAUUUCUGUCUUACAUUUUAGCUGCCAACUUGUUUUCCUUGAAGAUGGCUGUGCUUGGGGUGGUUGUUCAUGGCUUGAGUGCUAUGUAUUUGAUGCAAAUACAUUCUUAUGCCUUGGCAGCUUUUCCAUUUUUCUUUUUUUUCUUCUUUUUUUCUCCUUUUUUCUAUUUUUUCUCCCUACCCUCCCAUUUCCUCAUGAGACCAAAUAUUACAAAGUGCUACAGAGCCUACCACCAACCUGCCUUCUCUACCUGAACUUCCAAGAGCUUCUCCACUCUCCUCCAUCUUCCUCACCCCUUGUUUUGAAGCCAGGGGAUGAUAUUAUUUCUGGGGAACCACUCUUUGCACAAAGAUGCUGAAUUUCAUCACCUGCUGCUGAAAGCAGCUCAGCUACACCAAACAGCACGAUGACAUCUCAUUGUCUGGAACCAGUAAGGCACCAAGGAGACUGAUCAGCACUUUUCUUGUUAAGGAAAGGUGAGACUGAGUUUACAUUUACGCUGAGAAAGGGCUUUGCUGGGUAGCUUUACCAGGCAGUAUGCCUCAUUCCAAGGGGCACAGUCUCUUGGCACGUUGUUGUGGAGGUAGAGAGGCUCACAUUUCCCACUCCUGGAGCCCUCCUUGCAUAGUAACCUUUUUCUUAUUUACCCAUGUUUUCCCCUUGUGCUUGAGCCACCCUGGAUACAUACAGUCUGCUGCUCAAGCCCGUCCUGCUAAUGCCUAUCCCACACAAAAGACAACAUCUAGCUGGUGCCUGAGCUGGGGUUUAGCUAUUUCUUUCACACCAGAGCACUUCAAAGCAGACUGCAAGCCUGGUCAGAAGUUUAUAGUUUCCUAGCAGCCAGUAUCUCAGGCAGCUGAAGGAAAAUGCCUUGACGUGGCAUUUUUGCCCUGCUUGUGUCAAAGCUACUUUAGCCAUCCUGUUUCCCACCAGGCCUGCCUGGUAUCAGGGGCGACCCAUACAAGAUGAGAUGGUUUCCAGAGCUCCUUGCAGAAGAGGCUCUCACACAAGGACCCCAGGGACUCCGGUCCAUGGUCUUAACUGCACCUUGACAGUCACUGUGCAAUGUGCUGCAAUGGAGCAGGAUCUGGGUUUCCCAGAGUUUUCCUCAUGACAGAAUGCUUCCUUUAUGCACUUUGUUGCCUCUGUGGCUGAGAAGGGUGAAUAAAACAACUCAAUAUGACUUAGAAAAAUAAUUUUGUCCGCAAGGUAUUUGGUGAAGAAGGACAAAGGUGUUGCAAGCAUGUGAGAAAUGUGGACACAGCUGGCUCCAGCCUCAAAGGAAGCUGCAGCUGUGUUGUCGAGAGAGUCCAAGGCUCUCCAAAAGCAAGCCAUGGAGCUGACACAAGAUAAUUAUUCUACUGAGGCUCAAGGCACACUUUGCUUUCCAGUGUUUUCUCUGUAACUGUAGCUAAGGCACUGCCAUAGCCCUCACACCUUGCUACAGGAUGCACAGAGUGAGAUAAAUCAUCCCAACCGUAGUGGAAAUGCUAAGUCAUGACCUGAAGCAGUGAUGGAGCACCUGGUGGGAAGACAGGGCCUACCCAAAGGAGCUCAGGUGCAUGCAAUGCAGCUGAGUGACUGAAAGGAUCUUGGCUCCAUCCCUUUCCAGACCCCAUUUAAGGGUUGGCAGUAGAGGUGAGGGUAUCUGACUGGACAUCCCUGUCUACCUGAGGCCCUCUGAAGACUGCUUCCAGAUUGAGGCUACUCAUUUUGCAAACAUAAGGAGUCCAGCUGGAUGGUUUGUGCUCAUCACUCCUCUACCAGCAAUAAGAGUUCUGCUGCCUUUAAUGUCACACCCAGCUGCGGAGAACUACAUUGAAAUUGUUGCUUCUGUAGAGAGCAGAUGGGAACGACAGCACUUAUUCUCCCUAGAACUCUGGUGAUGGAGUGGGAUCCCAGUGUCAAGAACGUGUUCAGGGAGUUGCACCCAGUCCCUGAACUACCCCGUAGGACUCUUUGCAGAUGGGUGACACACAGCAACCAGAGCAGCAGCCAGCCAUUCUGGUGUGAAAGGCAGUGGGUUCACCAUCGCUGGGGAUUUGGAGGGAUGCAGAGCUGUACCAGACAGAGCUCUUAUUGUUGGUGGGGUGAUGUGGUAUUCAAGGACCUCCCCGUGUCCAAGGAGAACCAAGAAACCCACCACUGACUCUUGAGUCUCUUCCCUGCCUCGUCUGCUAAUGGCUCAGGGAGAGAAUGGGAUGACACAGCUGCUGCAAUUGGAGACCAUUUCCAAGGGACAAUUCAAGACCAUCUUGAGCAGAGUGAGGAGAAAACAAACACAGCAGUCUCUGAGAGCAAGAAAGCAUUGCGAAAUGACAACUGUCUGCUCACUACAGCUGCUGUGGGUGUCCUCCAGCAAUCCACAGCUGCAGGAAAAAAUAAUGGCAGCAAUACAGAGAGCAAAAAGCUUCUGCAAAGGGGAAGAAACCUUUAUCAAUAUGCACAGAUUUCCUUGUGAGCUUUCCAGCUUACAUAGGCUAAGGAGUGAAGGUUAGCUAGCAUCUACUUUACUGAGAUGCAUCCCGAAUCUAUUCUGCAGGCUGCACUCUCCCAGAUGUUUCCUGUAGCUGGAUGGUGGUCAGCCUGCUGCCUGCCUUUGCCUGCUGUGCAGCCUCUCCUGCACUGCCAAAUGUUUUGCCUGCAGACCAUAUUUCCUCGUCUGGAGUUGGGUUUUCUUAAUUACCCGCCUGUGUUCCUGCCUUACAGAAAUUACUUGUUCCUGCCAGGCACUAAAUCCAAUGGUUGUGGGAAGUGUUUAUGUGGGAAUAAAAAUGGCAGGCUGACAAAUCCCUAGUGGCAAAGUUUUCUCUGGUGGACUUUUCACACUGAAACAGGGGAAGAUGAAGAGGGCUGGGAUGAGAGCCAGCCAUCUAACUGCUGUUCUGGAAAUUAGCUGUGCUUCUCUUUUCUGAGUAGCGGUUGUUAAGCUUGAAUUUAGCACGGUGUCAAGUGUGGGUUUCAUGAUCUCAGCUUGUGCUCACCCUGAGCUGUUCUGGGGGGAGCUUGGCAGCACUCAGAAGGGACACAGGCACCACAGCUUCAGCUUUACUUAUUCUGAAGCAAAGCCGUGCAAGCAGUUUAAAGGAAGAGAAUAUUUCUAAGAAAACUGUGGGGUUUUCUUCCUUAGGGAGAUUGUAGAUUUUAAUUUAUUUAAUGAAAAUUGUGCUUCCUUAAGCCCAGGUGCCUUUCUGCAUAAAAAUCAAAUGACCAAAGUGUGGAUUCUAGACCAAAUUCCUGAUGGCAGCCAAAGACAAUAUGCACGUUCAUGGGGAGGCACAGAAGUGAGUACUGUGUUUGCUGAAGCAGCUAGGGAGGAAGGAUGCCAUGGUGUCCAUUAAGAAUUCAGCAGCUGAACUUCUGCAUGGGUCUCAGAGCCAUCUGGGGCUUUCACUCACUGACUUGUCUUCUUUCGCUUCUCCAAACUCACUGUAGCUCCUGAUUUUUUGACACCAUGUGCAGUUUCUCUUCCAGUUUAUUGCCCUGGGUGACACCGGUUGCUAUUUUGUCACUCUCUCCUUGCCAUCACGCUGUCUUAUUAAGAGAGAAGCGUUUGCAUGAAUUAGUCAGGGAAGCAUCCGCAGUCAAACUAACACAUACAAGAGGUGGUAAAUAUUGACUCUUGUUGCUGUUAACUUGCCAUGCCUCCAGCUGCAUGGGAAAGGAGUGACAGCUGCAUCGCUGAAGCCGAUGACAGCUUGACUGACCUGGAGCUCAGGUUUAUCUAUUGGGGGAUACACAGUAGUCACAGCUCCUGGCU